UUGUCUCAAAGAUUAAGCCAUGCAUGUCUCAGUACAAGCCAUAUUAAGGUGAAACCGCGAAAGGCUCAUUAAAUCAGUUAUGGUUCCUUAGAUCGUACCCACAUUUACUUGGAUAACUGUGGUAAUUCUAGAGCUAAUACAUGCAAACAGAGCUCCGACCGGAGACGGAAGGAGCGCUUUUAUUAGAUCAAAACCAAUCGGUGGCGGGUUUCCGCUCGUCAUCGUACAACUUGGUGACUCUGAAUAACUUUACGCUGAUCGCAUGGUCUAGCACCGGCGACGCAUCUUUCAAAUGUCUGCCUUAUCAACUGUCGAUGGUAGGUUCUGCGCCUACCAUGGUUGUAACGGGUAACGGGGAAUCAGGGUUCGAUUCCGGAGAGGGAGCCUGAGAAACGGCUACCACAUCCAAGGAAGGCAGCAGGCGCGCAAAUUACCCACUCCCGGCACGGGGAGGUAGUGACGAAAAAUAACGAUACGGGACUCUUCCGAGGCCCCGUAAUCGGAAUGAGUACACUCUAAACCCUUUAACGAGGAUCAAUUGGAGGGCAAGUCUGGUGCCAGCAGCCGCGGUAAUUCCAGCUCCAAUAGCGUAUAUUAAAGUUGUUGCGGUUAAAAAGCUCGUAGUCGAAUUUGUGUCCCGCGCCGCCGGUUCAUCGCACGCGGUGUUAACUGGCGUGCCGCGGGACGUCCUGCCGGUGGACUUAGCCUUUGCGGGCGGUCCAACUCAAUCCCACCACGGUGCUCUUUAUUGAGUGUCGAGGUGGGCCGGCACGUUUACUUUGAACAAAUUAGAGUGCUCAAAGCAGGCUAAAACUUCGCCUGAAUACGUGUGCAUGGAAUAAUGGAAUAGGAUCUCGGUUCUAUUUUGUUGGUUUUCGGAACCCCGAGGUAAUGAUUAAUAGGAACGGAUGGGGGCAUUCGUAUUGCGACGUUAGAGGUGAAAUUCUUGGAUCGUCGCAAGACGAACAGAAGCGAAAGCAUUUGCCAAAAACGCUUUCAUUGAUCAAGAACGAAAGUUAGAGGUUCGAAGGCGAUCAGAUACCGCCCUAGUUCUAACCAUAAACGAUGCCAGCUAGCGAUCCGCCGACGUUCCUCCGAUGACUCGGCGGGCAGCUUCCGGGAAACCAAAGCUUUUGGGUUCCGGGGGAAGUAUGGUUGCAAAGCUGAAACUUAAAGGAAUUGACGGAAGGGCACCACCAGGAGUGGAGCCUGCGGCUUAAUUUGACUCAACACGGGAAACCUCACCAGGCCCGGACACCGGAAGGAUUGACAGAUUGAGAGCUCUUUCUUGAUUCGGUGGGUGGUGGUGCAUGGCCGU
Molecule: ribosomal RNA, 1318 nt
Filed under: Conicobruchus flabellicornis
Lineage: Eukaryota; Metazoa; Arthropoda; Insecta; Coleoptera; Chrysomelidae
Description: SSU rRNA
Rfam family: Eukaryotic small subunit ribosomal RNA
Source: RNAcentral